GGACUACUGGGGUAUCUAAUCCCGUUCGCUCCCCUGGCUUUCGCACCCGAGCGUCAGACACUUCCCAGGAUGCUGCCUUCGCCUUUGGUGUUCUUCCAGAUCUCUACGCAUUUCACCACUCCACCUGGAAUUCCACAUCCCUCUGAAGCCCUCAAGUCCUGCAGUUUCCAGAGCACUUCCCCGGUUAAGCCGGGAACUGUCACCCCAGACUGACAGGACCGCCUGCGUGCGCUUUACGCCCAGUAACUCCGGACAACGCUUGCCUCCUACGUAUUACCGCGGCUGCUGGCAC
RNAcentral lists this ribosomal RNA (292 nucleotides) under uncultured bacterium. RNAcentral's name for it is "partial 16S ribosomal RNA". The record is from RNAcentral.